This 255-nucleotide ribosomal RNA is filed under the name uncultured bacterium. RNAcentral's name for it is "partial 16S ribosomal RNA". It matches the Rfam family "Bacterial small subunit ribosomal RNA", at positions 524 to 777 of the family's 1533-position model. The record is from RNAcentral.
UACGUAGGGGGCAAGCGUUGUCCGGAAUCAUUGGGCGUAAAGCGCGUGUAGGCGGCUGGCUAAGUCCGCUCUGAAAGCCCGGGGCUCAACCCCGGGAGGCGGGUGGAUACUGGUCAGCCCGAGUCCGGAAGAGGAGUGUGGGAAUUCCUGGUGUAGCGGUGAAAUGCGUAGAUAUCUGGAGGAAUACCGGUGGCGAAGGCGGCAUCCUGGACCGACAUUGACGCUGAUGAGCGAGAGCUAGGGGAGCAAACGGGG